GUCUACGGCAUUGCCACCCUGAAUGUGCCUGAGCUCGUCUGAUCUCGGAACCUAAGCAGGGUCAGGCCUGGUUAGUACUGGAUAGGAGACUUCCUAGGAAUACUGGAUGCUGUAGGCA
Molecule: ribosomal RNA, 118 nt
Organism: Pteropus vampyrus (large flying fox)
Lineage: Eukaryota; Metazoa; Chordata; Mammalia; Chiroptera; Pteropodidae
Source: Ensembl